UACGUAGGGGGCAAGCGUUAUCCGGAAUUACUGGGUGUAAAGGGUGCGUAGGCGGGCUUUUAAGUCAGCGGUAAAAAUUCGGGGCUCAACCCCGUCCGGCCGUUGAAACUGGGGGUCUUGAGUGGGCGAGAAGAAGGCGGAAUGCGUGGUGUAGCGGUGAAAUGCAUAGAUAUCACGCAGAACCCCGAUUGCGAAGGCAGCCUUCCGGCGCCCUACUGACGCUGAGGCACGAAAGUGCGGGGAUCGAACAGG
This 252-nucleotide ribosomal RNA is filed under the name uncultured bacterium. RNAcentral describes it as "partial 16S ribosomal RNA". It matches the Rfam family "Bacterial small subunit ribosomal RNA", at positions 524 to 776 of the family's 1533-position model. The record is from RNAcentral.